Gorilla gorilla gorilla (western lowland gorilla) is the source of this 8658-nucleotide long non-coding RNA. RefSeq lists it as uncharacterized. The record is from RefSeq and is a predicted model, not a curated record. The transcript has 6 exons. NCBI's taxonomy places the organism in Eukaryota, Metazoa, Chordata, Mammalia, Primates, Hominidae.
GGGUCGAUGAUGAGAACCUUAUAUUAUCCUGAAGAGAGGUGAUGACUUAAAAAUCAUGCUCAAUAGGAUUACGCUGAGGCCCAGCCUAGAUGAGAAUUUUGGAAGAGGACGCUGGGAUCCAGAGGCCCCCGACAGGGCCACUGUAUUUUGAGCUGCAGACCUAGAGGCCCUGAAGGGCAUCUGAAGGGGGCCCAAGCCUGUCUCUGAGCUGCCCCGUGAGGCAGUCCAGGAUCCCUGUGUGGGCAUAUGCUGGGGCUCUGGUUCCCUAGGGGCAGGGCAUGUGGGUGGCUCCUCCCUGACCCCCAUUCACCCCUGUGUCUUUCAGUGAGCUCUUCUGCCCAGGCAGGCCCCCUAGCAUUGACCGGCAUAGGUGAGUGGAUCCUGCUGGGGUCAUGGGCCAUGAGCCAGGCUGCUGGGGUCGCCGAGGGUCAGCCUUUGGGACAGGAGGGUUUCCUUAGGGAGCCAACCUGAAUCCCCACUGGGGAGGGCUAGGUUCUCCAGGAGGGCAGCUUCCUUGGGAGUCUGACCCAAGGAGGAUAUCUUCUCUAAAGCCCUGCAGUGGUGAGGGUGGUCCAGGCAGCAAAGGGUUCCUUCAACCCCACCCAGGACAGCGCCCAGCUGAGACUCGGUGUGCAGGUCUGGCCAUGAGGACUGCCCAGGUCACAUGAGGGGGUCCAUAGGAGCUCCGGGGCACCACAGGGGUCACACAGGAGCUCUCCUUCCCCAGAGAGGGGUGAACUAUUGGGCCUAUGGGGUCAGGCCUUUGGAGAUCAAGGAUUGGGCCCCACCCAUGAACCUGAAUGGGACCAAGCCUUUGAGCAAUGGACCAUCCCAGUGGUGCCUCUGAGCCUAGUCGGGGGUGAUGUGGCUUCAAGGGGGUUGGGUCACGGCUGAGCUCUGGCCGGUGCCUGGUAGUGCUGCAGGCUGGCCCUGGGACUCGCUGGCUUUGGGCAAAGGGGCCAGCCCGUGUCCCGCUGGGGGUCACCCCUUCCCUGUGGGCAACUAGCAGGAAGGGUGGCAUCCUUAGCUGGGAAGGCCCGCUGUCGAGGGUCCUGUCCAGGGAAUUUGCCUCCCAGGCUUCUUCUGAUCCGUGGACUUACCUCCAGGGUGGUGGGGUCUUAGGCCCAAGGAAAGGAGAAGAUACCCUGUGUUCCCCGAUUGGCCGAGUGUGGCUUGGCUCUGUGUUUGGGAGGUGUGUAGGGUAUGAAUGGGGACCCACCAGAGAACACACAUGGCCCAGGGCCCCAGGUUAUGAUUUCCCAUGCACACUUGGAGAGAACUCUGGGUGGGUGCCCUCCACUCCCAGGCACAGGCUAUGCAACUGCCAGGUCUGCAGUGGCAUGUGUCUUCCAGGUCAGCCUCCUUGGUUGGCCAUGAGCAGGUUGGUUGCCCUGUCCUGUGCCCAGUGGUCUUGGAGUGGCCCAGGGGUCCUGCAGGGGAGCUGGUGUGGGUAGUGGAGGUGCUUGCGGGGCCUGCAAUAGAGCACAGCCUAGGUGCCUUGCACGAGCUCAGUGACCCACCUGCCCUGUCCUAGUCCUAGCUCAGUGACCCACCCCCCCUUGCAGUGAUGGGGAGUACCAAGCAUCUCCUGUGUCUGUGAUGGGUCAGUGUUCUCAUCACAUGGGUCCAUGGAGGGAGAGCAUGCAUGAGCUGGCACCACCCACCACCUUCCCACUAUGGAGGCAUGAGGCCAUGUUUGGACACAUGUCUUCUUGUCCCCCCAGACAGUGAGCCUGGAGGAAGACUUGCCUUGGUCCCACUGUCCCUGGGCCAGUGUCCAUCAGCCAGGCGCCCAGCCCCCAGUGCGCUGAAGCUCAGCCCUCCCUGGCACUCUGUUCUCCUGCACUGAGCUGUGUGAGCUCUUCUGCCCACGAGGGCCCCCUGGCCUUGAGCAGCAUAUGUGAGCGGAUCCUGCUGGGCUCAUGGACCAGGCCACGUGGGGUCACUGAGGGUCAGCCUUCAGGACAGGAGGGAUUACUCAGGGAGACAACCUGAAUCCCCACUGAUGGUGACCCUGAAGAAGGACUUGUGUUGGGCCCAAUGGCCUGGAGCCAGUGUCUGUCAGCCAGGUGCCCAGCCCGUGGCGCGCUGAAGUUUGGGCCCUUCCUGGUGCCCUGUUAUAUCGGGGGAACCCGCCCCCAAUAAUUCAACGUCCCUCCGUUUGGGGUCCCUGACUUCCCUCAACACUGGUCUCUUGCACUGAGCCUUGUGAGCUCUUCCACCAAGGAGGGCCCCCUGGCAUUGACUGGCAUAGGUGAGUGGAUUCAGCUGGUGUCAUGGGCCAUGGGCCAGGCCACGUGGGGUCACCAAGGGUCAGCCUUCGGGAAAGAAGGGUUUCAUCAGGGAGCCAAACUGAAUCCCCACUGGGAAGAGAUGGGUUCUCCAGGAGGGCGGCUUCCUGGGAAACAGGAACCAAGGAGGACGCCUUCCCUGAAGCCCUGCAGGGGUGACAGUGGUCCAGGCAGGAAAGGGUUCCUUCAAUUCCACCCAGGGUAGCUCCCAGCUGAGUCUUGGUGCUCGCGUCUGGACUGCUCUGACUAUAUGGGGGGCCACAGGGGCUCCGGGGUACCUUGGGGGGGUCACACAGGUGCUCUUUGUCCCUGGAGAAAGGUGGGUGAUCGGGCCCAUGGAGUUGAGCAGUGGAGAUUCAAGGAUUGCACCUGACACAUGGUCCUCAAUGGAACCCACCCUGUUGAGCAAUGGGCCAUCCCAUGGACCUCUUCAAGCCUGAAGGGGGGCGGUGCUGUUUCACUGGGUUUAGGUCAAGGCUGAGCUCUGGCCGGUGCCUGGUGGUGCUGCAGUCCAGCUGUUGGACUCGUAGGCUUUGGGCCAGUGGGGCAGCCUGCAUCCCUCUGGAAGUCACCCCUUCCCUGUGGCUGGAAGUUACCCCUUCCCAGUGGGCGAAUGUGGGGAAGGGUCACCUCCUGAAGUGAGAAGGCCUACUAUUGAGGGUCUGCUCCUGGCAAUUUGCUGCCCAUGCUGCUUCUGAGCCAUGGAGACACCUCCAGUGUGGUGGGAUCUUGGGCCCAAGGAAGGGAGAAGACACUGUGCCCCCCGAUUAGCUGAGUGUGGCCAGGCUGUGUGUUUAUGAGGUGUGAGGGGCAUGGAUGGAGACUCACCAGAGAAAGCAUGUGACCCUGGGACCCCAGGUCGUGGUUUCCAGUAUGUGCCCGGAUACAGCACGUGGGUGGGUGCCCACCAUGCACAGGGACUGGCUAUGUGACUGCCAGCUGUGCAGCAGCAUCAGGCAUACGGGCCAGCCUCCUUGGUUGACCAUGAACUGGUUGCUGGCCCUGGCCUGUGCCCAGUAGUCCUGGGGUGACCCUGGUGUCAUGUAGGGGAGCUGGCAUGUGUAGUGGAGGUGCUUGUGGGGCUUGCAGUAGGGCACAACCCUGGCUUCUAGCCUGAGCCCAGUGACCUGCCUGUCCUAUCCUUUCGGUGUUCAGUGGCAGAGAGAGCAUCGGGUGCCCUGCAUCCAUGACAGGCAAGUAUUCCACAUGGAUCUCAUCACAUGGGUCCAUGGAAGGUGAGCAUCCCUGAGCUGGCACACCACACCUUCUGUCCACAUGGAGGGGUGAGGUUGUGUUUGGACACUUGUCCUCUUCCUGUUCCUUGAGAUGGUGACCCCAGAGGAGGACAUGUGUUGGGCCCGCUGUCCCUGGCCAGUGGCCAUCAGCCAAGUGCCUUGCCCCUAUUGCACUGAAACUCGGGCCCUUCCUGUCACCUUGGUCUCCUGCGUUGAGCUUGAGUGAGCCCAUCCGGGUGCCACUGGAUGCCUAGGCAGGGAGGGGGGUGCCCUGGGUUGGGUCGAUGAUGAGAACCUUAUAUUGUUCUGAAGAGAGGUGAUGACUUAAAAAUCAUGCUCAAUAGGAUUACGCUGAGGCCCAGCCUAGGUGAGAAUUUUGGAAGGGGACACUAGAAUCCCGAGGUCCCCAGCAGGGCUGCUGUAUUUUAGGCUGGAUACCUCGAGGCCCUGAAGGGCACCUCAUGGAGGGGCCCAAUCCUCUCUGUGCUCUUCUAUUAGUCACACCAGACUUUCUGUGUGGGCUUGGUGUCCAUGCUCAGCUUCCCUGGGGUGGGACACGUUGGCGGCUCCUCCGUGAGCCCCAUUAUCCUCUGUGUCUUUCAGUGAGCUCUUCCCCCCAGCAGACCCCUGGGAUUGACAAGCAUAGGUGAGUGGAUACUGCUGGUGUCAUGGGCCAUGAGCCAAGCUGCGUGGGGUCCCCAAGGGUCAGCCCUCGGGCCACCUGGGUUUCCUCAGGAGCUGAUCUGAAUCCCAACUGGGGAUGUGUUCUCCAGGAGGGCAGCUUCCUUGGGAAUAGGACAUAAGGAGGAGGCCUUCUCUGAAGCCCCGCAGGGGUGGCAGUUGUCCAGGCAGGAAAGGGUUUCCUCAGCCCCACGCAGGGCAGUGCUCAGCUCAGACUUGGUGCUUGGGUCAGGCCUCUAACAUGGCCAGGCCACAUGAGGGGGGCAACAAGGGCUCCGGGGAGCCAAGGGCAUCUCACGGGGGCUCUCCAACCCUGGAGAAGGGUGGGUGAUUCGGUCCACGGUGUCAGGCCAUGGAGAUUCAUGGAUUGCAGCAAACCCAGGACCCUCAAUGGGACUGACCCUAUAAGCAGUGGGCCCUCCCAGUGGCACCUCUUUGAGCCAUUUGUGGGGCGGCGCUGUUUCUCUGAGGUUGGGUCAAGACUAGCUCUGGCCAGUGCCUGAUGGUGGUGCAAUCCAGUCCUGGGACUCGUGGGCUCUGGGCCAAGGCUGCAGCCCUUGUCCCACUGGGGGUCACCCCUUCCUUGUGGGCGAGUGGCAGUAAUGGCCUCCUGAGUUGGGAAGGCCCGCAGUGGAAGGACCUUUCCUGGAAAUUUGCAGUCCAGGCUGCUUCUCAGCCAUUAGGACAACUCCAGUGGGUGGGGGGGCAGGGGUGGGUCUUAGGCCCAAAGAAAGGAGAAGAUACCAUAUGUCUCCCGGUUGGCUGAGUGUGGCCCUGCUCUGUGUGUGGGAGGUGUUGUGUGGGGCAUGGAUUGGGACCCACCAGAGAAAGCUUGUGGCCCUGGAGCCCCAGGCUGAGAUUUCCAGUGCACCUUGAGGAAAGGAGGGUGGGUGCCCUCCAUGCACAGGGCAGACUGUGCAACUGCCAGGUAGGCAACAGCACGUGGUGUCCGGCCCAGCGUCCUUGGUUUGCUGUGAGCUGUUUGGUGUCCAUGGCCCCUACCCAGGGGUCCAGAUACCACCCGGGGUCAUGCAGGGGAGCUGGCGUGGUCAAUGGAGGUGCUCAAGGGGCCUGCAGUAGGGCACAGCCCAGGUGUCUUGCCUGAGCCCAGGAACCCACCUGCCCUGUCCUUCCAUGGUUCAGUGGCUGGGAGAGCAAAGGGUUCCCCUGAUCUAUGACACAUCAGUGUUUCCCAUGGAUCCCAUCACAUGGGUCCACGCAGAGAGAGCAUGUGUGAGCUGGCACCCCCCACCCCAUUCCCUGUAUGGAGGCGUGAGCCCAUGGUUGGACACAUGUCCUCCUCCUGUCCCCCCAGAUGGUGACUGUGGAGGAAGACUUGCUUUGGGACCGCUGGCCCCAGGCCAGUGGUUGUCAUCCAGGUGCCCAGCCCUUGGUGCACUUAAGCUCAAGCCCUUCCUGGUGCCCUGGUCUCCUGCCCUGAGCUGUGGUGAGCCCAUCCGGGUCCCACUGGAUGCAUGCGUGGGGAGGAGGGUGCCCUGGAUUGGGUCGAUGAUGAGAACCUUAUAUUGUCCUGAAGAGAGGUGAUGACUUAAAAAUCAUGCUCAAUAGGAUUACGCUGAGGCCCAGCCUUGGUGAGAAUUUUGGAAGAGGAUGCUGAGAUCCCAAGGUCUCUGGCAGGGCUGCUGUAUUUUGGGCUGGAGACCUGGAGGCCCUGAAGGGCAUCUUAGGGGUGCCCGACCCCAUCUCUGCGCUCCUCCUUGAGGCAGCCCAGGCUCCCUUGUGGGCUUGGUGUCAGCCCUCCAGUUCCCUGGGGUUGAGGCACAUUGGAGCCUCCUUCCUGAGCCCCCAUUCUCCCCUGUGUCUUUCAGCGAGCUCUUCUGCCCAGGGAGACCCCUGGCCUUAAGUGGGUUAGGUAAAUGGAUCUUGCUGGGGUCGUGGACCAUGAGCCAGGUCGCUUUGGGUCACUGAGAGUCACCCUUCAGGCCACGAGGGAUUCCUCAGGGAGCCCAUCUGAAACCCACCAGGGACGGAUGGUUUCUCCAGGAGGACAGCUUCCUUGGAAGUCGGUCCCAAGAAGGAUGCCUUCCCUGAAGCCAUGCAGAGAUGAUGGACAUCCAAGCAGGAAAGGGUUCCUUCAACUCAAUGCAGUGCACAUCCUAGCUGAGACUCAGUGCACAAGUCAGGCCUGGAGGACUUCCCAGGCCACAUGAGGGGGUCCACAAGGUCUCCAGGGGCCAUGGGUGUUAGGAGGGUGCUCUCUGUCCCCGAGGCUUGCAGAGGGGCAGGGUGUGGGUGAUCGGACUUCUGGAGUCAGGCCGUGAAGAUUCAAGGAUCGGGCCCAAACCAUGGCCCAGCAUGGACCGAACCUGUGGAGCAAUGGGCCAUCCCUGUGGUGCAUCCUUGAGCCUUGUGGGGGCGGUGUGGCCUUAGUGGGGUUGGGUCAAGCCUGAGCUCUGGCCUUCACCUGGUGGUGCUGCAGGCUGGCCCUGGGAAUUUGGGCUUUGGGCCAAGGGUGCAGUCUGUGUCCCGCUAAAGGUCACCCCUCCCCAAAGUGGAGUGGCCAGAAGGAUGGCAUCCUGUGGUAGAAAUCCCACUGUCAAGGGUCCUGUCCUGGCAAUUUGUUGCCCAGGCUGCUUCUAAGCCAUGGGUUCACCUCCAGGGUGGCGGGGUCUUGAGCCGAAGGAAAGGGGAAGACAUCAUGUGUUCCCUGAUUGACUGAGCAUGGCCUGGCUCUGCAUUUGGAGGUGUGCGGUGCCUGAAUGGGGACCCAUCAGAGAAGGUAUGUGGCCCUGGGGCUCCAGGAUUUGAUUUCUGGUGUGAGCUUUUAGAGGGGGUCUGUAGUGGCAUGUAGCAUUCAGGUCAGCCUACUUGGUUUUCUCUGAGCUUGUUGGUGGUCCCGGCCCUGCCCAGUGGUCCCAUUGUGGCACAGAGUCAUGUGGGGGAGCUGUGGCAAGGAGGGCCAAGGGUUCCCCGCAUUCAUGAUCGUCACUGUUUACAUGGAUCCCAUCUCUUGAGUCCAUGGAGGGGGAGCAUGUGUGAGCCAGCACCCCCUGCCCACUUUCCUGCAUGGAGGCGUGAGGCCGUAUUUCUAUACCUGUCCCCCACCCCUCCAGAUGGUGACCCCAGAGGAAGACGUGCAUUGGGUCCGCUGGCCCCAGGCCAGUGUCUCUCAGCCAUGUGCUCAACCCCUGGUGAGCUGAAGCUCAGGCCCUUCCUGGCAUCCUGGUCUCCUGCACUGAGCUGUGUGAGCUCGUCCUCCUAGGUGGGGCCACCUGGCAUUGACCGGCAUAGGUGAGUGGUCCUGCUGGGGUCAUGGGUCAUCAGCAGGAUGGAGUCACCAAGGGUCAGCCUUUGAGACAGGAGGGUUCCCACAGGCAGCCGACCUGAAUCCACACCAUGGAGGGAUAGAUUGGUCCUCCAAGAGGGCUGUUUUUUUCGGAAUCAGACCCAAGGAGGAUACCUUCCCUGCAGCCCUGCGGGGAUGACGGUGGUCCAGGCAGGGAAGGGUUCCUUCAUUCUUACGCAGGUCAGCUCCCAGCUGAGUCUCAGUACAUUGGUCUGGCCUCCAGGACUGACCAGGCCAUGUGAGGGGGGCAACAGGGGCUUCGGGAUGCAGUGGGGUCACACAGGAUCUCUCCAUCCCCGGAGAAAGGUGGGCAUAGAACCCAUGGAUUCGAGCUGCAGAGAUUCAAGAAUUGCACACGAAUUAUUGCCCUGAAUGGGACCGACCCUGUUGAGCAAUGUCCCAUCCCAGGGCACCUCUUUGAGCCUGAAGGGGGUGGUGCUGUUUCCCUAGGUUUGGGUCAAGGCUGAGCUCUGGCCAGUGCCUGGUGGCGCUAUAGUCCUGUCAUGGACUCGUUAGCUUUACGCCAAGGGGUCAGCCCACGUCCUACUGGGGAUCUCCCCUUCCCUGUGGCUGGAAGUCACCCCCUCCCCAUUGGCAAGUGUCAGGAAGGGUGACCUCCUGAGGUGGAAGGGCUGUUGAGGGUCUUGUCCCUGGAAUAUGCCACCCAUGCUGCUUCUGAGCCAUGGGGUCACCUCCAGGGUAGCAGGUCUUGGGCCCAAGGAAAGGAGAAGUCACCAUGUGUCCCCCGAUUAGACAAGUGCGGCCCUGCUCUGUGUUUAGGAGGUGUGUGGGGCAUGGAUGGGGACCCACCAGAGAAAGCAUGUGGCCCAGGGACCCCAGGUUGCAAUUUCUAGGACAUGCUGGGAUAGGGCACCUGUGUGGGUGCCCACAGUGCACAGGGAUAGGCUAUGUGACUUGCAGGUCUGCAGCGGCAUCUGGCAUCCAGGCCAGCCUCCUUGGUGGGCCGUGAACUGAAUGGUGGCGCUGGCCUGUGCCCAGUAGAUCUGGUAUGACCCUGGGGUCGUGUAGGGGAGCCGGCAUGGGCAGUGGAGGUGCUUAUGGGACCUGCAGUAGGACACAGUCGGGGCUUCUUGCCCAAGCCCAGUGACCCGCCUGCCCUGUCCUUCCAGGAUUCAGUGGCUGA